RNAcentral lists this ribosomal RNA (254 nucleotides) under uncultured bacterium. RNAcentral's name for it is "partial 16S ribosomal RNA". It matches the Rfam family "Bacterial small subunit ribosomal RNA", at positions 524 to 776 of the family's 1533-position model. The record is from RNAcentral.
UACGUAGGGUGCGAGCGUUAAUCGGAAUUACUGGGCGUAAAGCGUGCGCAGGCGGUUUUGUAAGCCAGAUGUGAAAUCCCCGGGCUUAACCUGGGAAUGGCAUUUGGGACUGCAAGGCUGGAGUUUGGCAGAGGAGACUGGAAUUCCUGGUGUAGCAGUGAAAUGCGUAGAUAUCAGGAGGAAUACCGGUGGCGAAGGCGGCAUCCUGGACCGGCAUUGACGCUGAGUGAGCGAAAGCCAGGGGAGCAAACGGG